Molecule: ribosomal RNA, 221 nt
Filed under: Vibrio alginolyticus
Lineage: Bacteria; Pseudomonadati; Pseudomonadota; Gammaproteobacteria; Vibrionales; Vibrionaceae
Description: partial 16S ribosomal RNA
Rfam family: Bacterial small subunit ribosomal RNA
Source: RNAcentral
ACGAUAACGGCGUCGAGCGGCGGACGGGUGAGUAAUGCCUAGGAAAUUGCCCUGAUGUGGGGGAUAACCAUUGGAAACGAUGGCUAAUACCGCAUGAUGCCUACGGGCCAAAGAGGGGGACCUUCGGGCCUCUCGCGUCAGGAUAUGCCUAGGUGGGAUUAGCUAGUUGGUGAGGUAAGGGCUCACCAAGGCGACGAUCCCUAGCUGGUCUGAGAGGAUGA